Non-coding RNA from Microcebus murinus (gray mouse lemur), 3167 nucleotides. Lineage: Eukaryota; Metazoa; Chordata; Mammalia; Primates; Cheirogaleidae. The record is from RefSeq and is a predicted model, not a curated record.
AUGAAUCCCAGUUCUACCACUUCCUCGCUGUGUAACCUCGGCAAGUUGCUUAAUCAUUCAGGGCCUCCAUUAUCACAUCUGUAAAAUGGGAUGAUACUAAUCAUAGUACCUUCUUCUUAGGGUUGCGGUGAGUUAACUGAUGUAGAACAGUGUGUGGCUCAUAGUAAGAACUACAUAAGUUUUGCCACGAUUUUCAUAAUGAUUCCUAGUAUCUAUAAUGUUUUAUUUUUAAAAUAUCAAAAGCGGAUAUGGCAUGUGUAUGAAAGAGCUCAGUGGCCUGCCUCGAAGAGGACCUUCAUCCCUCCUGCCCCCUCCCCAGCCAGGUGAGUUUCAUCCUCAACACUUACUCUGUGUUUUUAAAGCCACACCAUCCCAAACACGCCCUCCAGAUCUGGGACAACCCAUCUAGGCAUGUCUCCCUUUUCCUUUUUUACCCCUGAUGCUGGCAACUCUCUUUAUUGACACAGACGGUGAACAAUACAGUAACAAGUAUGUGCCCCCUUGUCUGUUUCAAUUUGUGUCACUAAAUUAGAUCGCUAUGGAAUGAUCAGGGUAAAUGAGGUGCUCAUUGUUACCACUCCGGCUUGCCCAACGGCUCUCCUAAAAGCUUGCACCAGUCUACACCCCACCUGCAGGUGACAGUGUGAUUUUCCAUUUCCUUUUGCCUCCCCCACUACAGUAUGAGCUUCUUGAGGACAAAGACUGCGACAUUUGUCCAUAUACUCUCCAUGUCUUGAUAGGUGCUCAGCAAGAUGUGGUGGAGUAGAUCAAGGCUUCACAGCACAUUGCUAAGUAGGUACAGAGGGCAGAGAAAAAUAAGACGCGCCUGCCCUCGAGAACUUACAAUUUAGGUUUGUUUGAAAAUUGCAAGUGUAGGGGGAGCCUGGGGAGGGAGGAAACGCUGUCGGGGAGAGUACCUGGCAAAGCCAGCUGUGGCCAGCUGUGAGGAAUGCGGGUCCUCCCCGUGCUUGGCAAGGCAGAGGAAUGGCAUCCCGGACGGGCAACAAACCGCUCCAGCAAAGUGUGGUGACGAGGAUGCGUAAGGACAUUUGUGGGAUGGUUAGAAGGGAGGUCACUAAUGUGUAGUCACCGUGGAGGAUCUGAUUAGCAGGAAAGGCAGGGCCUGGACGGGGGCAAGCCUUGUUCCACAGCUGAGAUGUUUAAACUUUACCCCCGAGGCAACUGGAGCUACCAGGGGUGCAGCGAGGAGGAAAGGCUGCUCUAGACAGGAAGAUUAAUCACAGCUGCGUUGCUGCCGGCUGCCUGUCACGCCAGAGCUGUGCUGCUCUCAAGCUGCCUGGCUGGUACUCCCUCUUUCCAGUCGCACAGCCGUGACAUUCAAACUCAGCGGUCUCCCCAUCCUCAGCUACCUCCCCACUGGCUCACGGAAGUACCAUCAACCCAAAAAUGUGGACACCACGGAGCCUGGUCUUCGUGAUGGCCCUGUGAGGUGGGUAUUAUCACCCACUCCCAUUCUACAGAUGAGGAAACUGAGGCUUAGGCCGACUAACUGGACUGAGAUCACACAGCUUAACAAGUCACAGCACAGCCCUCAAAUGCAGUCUGUCCUCUGCAUCGCCUUACUUCCUUGUGAUUUUGGUGGUUUUGUGGAGUUUUGACAGCCCCAAAGCAUGGGGACCUCUCAGCGCUGGAGCCAGAGCCCUCGGGCUCCCUUGUCUGUUCUACUCCGGGGACUCCAGACAAUUGCCAAGACAUCGGCAUCAGACUAGGCCAUCUGUGACCAGCAUGGAUCAAGACAAAAUCCAGACUACUCCAUAAUCACAUCUGAGCACAGACAAAACAUCCUCGGCCCAGAAGGAAACCGAAUCUCCUGGACAACUCUCUCUUGCCUGCUCCCAGCCCUAAAAUCUGGCCUCCUGAUUCUGAAGAUAAAAGACUCUGCUUCAACUUCAGAAUCAGAGUAACUUCCAGUGGUGCCACCAACCCCAAAGGUCCAAACUCCUGUGGGGCUCCCAGUCAUGUAAACCCUUCCCUUCUCCUUCCACGAGUGUCAGGGCCGGAGUAGGGGUGAGGCAGGGAAAAGGGUGGGGAAUGUGUCAGAUACCCCAGGGCGGGAUGUACUGAGGGACACAGGGUUUGAUCAGUAGACAUGUCCUUUUGAUGUGGGCAAGGCUAUGUCCUUUAAGGAGCAAUGCCCCUCAAUUUGGAGACACUGUGCAUCCUUGCAGCCAAGAGCAUGGACUCUAGAACCAGCUGUGUUAACUUCUUCACCAGCUCUGCCCUUACCAGCUGUGUGACCUUGGACAUAUUAACCUCUCUGCACUUCAGGUUCCUCAUCUCUAAAAUGAGGGUAAUAAUUGUACUGACUCACAGGCUUCUUGCCAGGAGUGAGUGAGUUGUGUAUGUCAAGCACUUAGAAUAAUGGCAGGCACAUGGCAAACACAAGUGUUUAUUAAGUAAAUAUUUUUUCACUUCUAAUGGGCUGACUCUUCCAUUCAUUCUCCACACAUUUAUUGAUAUCCUUCUUGUGCUAGAGAUGAACAAGACAGAUUCCCUGCCUGAAAUCUCUGUUGCAUGAUCCUUGCAUUCCACCCCCACUCCAAAAUGGUCUUCUAGGCCGUGCCUGAUGGGACUGCAUGGGGGCUGCGGGCUCCCUAGUGCAGACCCCCAGCUUGCUGCAGCCCCUCUCAAGUUCCUUUCCUUGUUCAAGACACCUUCUCUCCCUUUGACACAAUGAAGCAAGAGGUCCCCACCCCUUCCACAGCUCCUUCCCCAGGCCAGAAGGGGUUAGAUAAGUCACCCUUGCAGCCAUUUUUCACCCCUAACUGUGUUCCUCAAGGGCCUUUGCAAUUAAAUUUGAGCACAGAAUCUGGUUCAGGCUGCAUGAGCCACCAGACUCAGGGGUCAGAGGGCCCUGGUUUGCCAUUGCCCUCACAGGGCAUUCGGAAGCCAGAAGAACUGCAUUUAAAACUGAACAUUUGAACCUGCAUGGAUAUUUGGUGUUAUAGAAUUAGUGCUAUUAAUUUUAGGUUUAAGAAUGGUAUUGUGGUUAUGUAUUUUUAAAAAAUCUUUAUUUUUUAGAAAUACAAAAAUAUUUAUGGAUGAAAUUAUAUGAUGCCUGGGUUUUCCUUUAAAAUGAUAUGGGGAGAGGAAUGCAGAUGAAAUAAAAUUGGCUAUCAGUUGCUGGAAUUGCUGAACUGAGGAGU